Molecule: small nucleolar RNA, 94 nt
Organism: Callithrix jacchus (white-tufted-ear marmoset)
Lineage: Eukaryota; Metazoa; Chordata; Mammalia; Primates; Cebidae
Source: Ensembl
AUCCUUUGUAGUUUAUAAACAUGAUGAUUGGGUUUCACACUCCUGUGGGAGAUAUGCCUCCCUCAAACCUCCGCACAUUACCAGUAAUCCGACA